RNAcentral lists this ribosomal RNA (253 nucleotides) under uncultured bacterium. Its description in RNAcentral is "partial 16S ribosomal RNA". It matches the Rfam family "Bacterial small subunit ribosomal RNA", at positions 524 to 776 of the family's 1533-position model. The record is from RNAcentral.
GACGAACCGUGCGAACGUUGUUCGGAAUCACUGGGCUUAAAGGGCGCGUAGGCGGGUCACCAAGUCUGGGGUGAAAUCCUCCAGCUUAACUGGAGAAUAGCCUUGGAUACUGGUGGUCUCGAGGGAGGUAGGGGCAGCUGGAACUUCCGGUGGAGCGGUGAAAUGCGUUGAUAUCGGAAGGAACGCCGGUGGCGAAAGCGAGCUGCUGGACCUCUUCUGACGCUGAGGCGCGAAAGCCAGGGGAGCAAACGGG